UCUCGCUCUGUCACUCAGGCUGGAGUGCAGUGGCGCGAUCUCGGCUCACUGCAAGCUCCGCCUCCCGGGUUCACACCAUUCUCCUGCCUCAGCCUCCUGAGUAGCUGGGACUACAGGCGCCCACCACCACGCCCGGCUAAUUUUGUUUUUGUAUUUUUAGUAGAGACGGGGUUUCACCGUGUUAGCCAGGAUGGUCUCGAUCUCCUGACCUUGUGAUCCCCCCGCCUCGGCCUCCCAAAGUGCUGGGAUUACAGGCGUGAGCCACCGCGCCCGGCCUGC
This 279-nucleotide long non-coding RNA is filed under the name Homo sapiens (human). RNAcentral's name for it is "HSALNT0331430". The record is from RNAcentral. Lineage: Eukaryota; Metazoa; Chordata; Mammalia; Primates; Hominidae.